This 501-nucleotide ribosomal RNA is filed under the name uncultured bacterium. RNAcentral describes it as "partial 16S ribosomal RNA". It matches the Rfam family "Bacterial small subunit ribosomal RNA", at positions 29 to 523 of the family's 1533-position model. The record is from RNAcentral.
AUUGAACGCUGGCGGCAUGCCUUACACAUGCAAGUCGAACGGCAGCACGGGUGCUCGCACCUGGUGGCGAGUGGCAAACGGGUGAGUAAUACAUCGGAACGUACCUUAUCGUGGGGGAUAACGCAGCGAAAGCUGUGCUAAUACCGCAUACGCCCUGAGGGGGAAAGCGGGGGAUCGCAAGACCUCGCGCGAUUAGAGCGGCCGAUGCCUGAUUAGCUUGUUGGUGGGGUAAAAGCCCACCAAGGCGACGAUCAGUAGCUGGUCUGAGAGGACGAUCAGCCACACUGGGACUGAGACACGGCCCAGACUCCUACGGGAGGCAGCAGUGGGGAAUUUUGGACAAUGGGGGCAACCCUGAUCCAGCAAUGCCGCGUGAGUGAAGAAGGCCUUCGGGUUGUAAAGCUCUUUUGUCAGGGAAGAAACACCGGCUCUAACACAGUCCGGGAAUGACGGUACCUGAAGAAUAAGCACCGGCCAACUACGUGCCAGCAGCCGCGGUAA